UACGGAAGGCAGCAGUGGGGAAUAUUGCACAAUGGGCGCAAGCCUGAUGCAGCCAUGCCGCGUGUAUGAAGAAGGCCUUCGGGUUGUAAAGUACUUUCAGUCGUGAGGAAGGUGUUAAGGUUAAUAACCUUAGCAAUUGACGUUAGCGACAGAAGAAGCACCGGCUAACUCCGUGCCAGCAGCCGCGGUAAUACGGAGGGUGCGAGCGUUAAUCGGAAUUACUGGGCGUAAAGGGCACGCAGGCGGUUAAUUAAGUUGGAUGUGAAAUCCCCGGGCUUAACCUGGGAAUGGCAUUCAAGACUGGUUAGCUAGAGUCUUGUAGAGGGGGUAGAAUUCCAUGUGUAGCGGUGAAAUGCGUAGAGAUGUGGAGGAAUACCGGUGGGCGAAAGGCGGCCCCUGGGACAAAGGACUGACGCUCAUGUGCGAAAGCUGGGGAGCAAACAGGGAUUAGAUACC
This 456-nucleotide ribosomal RNA is filed under the name uncultured bacterium. Its description in RNAcentral is "bacterial SSU rRNA". It matches the Rfam family "Bacterial small subunit ribosomal RNA", at positions 340 to 786 of the family's 1533-position model. The record is from RNAcentral.